This 108-nucleotide small nuclear RNA is filed under the name Salvator merianae (Argentine black and white tegu). The record is from RNAcentral. Lineage: Eukaryota; Metazoa; Chordata; Lepidosauria; Squamata; Teiidae.
AUACUCGCUUUGACAGCACAUAUACUAAAAAUUAGAAUGAUACAGAGAAGAUUAGCAUGGCCCCUGUGCACGGAUGACACACACAUUUGUUAAGCAUUCCAUAUUUUU